Molecule: ribosomal RNA, 507 nt
Filed under: uncultured bacterium
Lineage: Bacteria
Description: bacterial SSU rRNA
Rfam family: Bacterial small subunit ribosomal RNA
Source: RNAcentral
CGCAAGACCUCGCGCGUCUGGAGCGGCUGAUGGCAGAUUAGGUAGUUGGUGGGAUAAAAGCCUACCAAGCCAACGAUCUGUAGCUGGUCUGAGAGGAUGAUCAGCCACACUGGGACUGAGACACGGCCCAGACUCCUACGGGAGGCAGCAGUGGGGAAUUUUGGACAAUGGGCGAAAGCCUGAUCCAGCCAUUCCGCGUGCAGGAUGAAGGCCCUCGGGUUGUAAACUGCUUUUGUACAGAACGAAAAAGCUCUGGCUAAUACCUGGAGUCCAUGACGGUACUGUAAGAAUAAGCACCGGCUAACUACGUGCCAGCAGCCGCGGUAAUACGUAGGGUGCAAGCGUUAAUCGGAAUUACUGGGCGUAAAGCGUGCGCAGGCGGUUUUGUAAGACAGAGGUGAAAUCCCCGGGCUCAACCUGGGAACUGCCUUUGUGACUGCAAGGCUGGAGUGCGGCAGGAGGGGGAUGGAAUUCCGCGUGUAGCAGUGAAAUGACGUAGAUAUGGAC